UUACCGAAGCAGUGGACGUAUUAAUACGUGGUAGGGGAGCAUUCUAUUCAGCGCUGAAGAUGAGGGAUAACCCUUGUUGGAGCGGAUAGAAAAGCAAAUGUAGGUAUAAGUAACGAUAAGGAGGGUGAGAAACCCUCCCGCCGAAAGACUAAGGAUUCCUGAUCAACGCUAAUCGGAUCAGGGUUAGUCGGGCCCUAAGGUUAAGCCGAACGGCAAUACCGAUGGACGAACUGGUUAAUAUUCCAGUACUACUUUAUAGAGUGAUGUGGGGACGGAGAAGUGACACCACUGCCAUCUGACGGAAUAGGUGGUUAAAGAGUGUAGACGUUGAAGUUGGUAGGCAAAUCCGCCGGCCGAGUCGAACUUGACAGUAUACUGAGUGCUUGCACGAGGUAAUAUGUGGGUAAACAUGCUCCCAAGAAAAUCCGCUAAACUUAUCUAUAGAGUACCCGUACCGUAAACGGACACACGUAGUCGGGUUGAGAAUACUAAGGCGCUCGAGUGAUUCACGGUUAAGGAACUAGGCAAAAUGACCCCGUAACUUCGGGAGAAGGGGUGCCAGUUUAAAAGCUGGCCGCAGAGAAUAGGCCCAGGCGACUGUUUAACAAAAACACAUGGCUAUGCUAAAUAGAAAUAUGAUGUAUAUAGCCUGACACCUGCCCGGUGCUGGAAGGUUAAGAGGAGAGGUCAUCCGUAAGGAGAAGCUUUGAAUUGAAGCCCCAGUAAACGGCGGCCGUAACCAUAACGGUCCUAAGGUAGCGAAAUUCCUUGUCGGGUAAGUUCCGACCUGCACGAAUGGUGUAAUGAUCUGGACACUGUCUCAACCGUGAGCUCAGUGAAAUUGUAGUAUCGGUGAAGAUGCCGAUUACCCGCGAUGGGACGAAAAGACCCCGUGAACCUUUACUAUAGCUUAACAUUGAGUUUGGGCAAUUCAUGUGUAGGAUAGGCCGGAGGCUAUGAAGCAGGUACGCCAGUAUUUGUGGAGCCAUCCUUGAAAUACGGCCCUUGGAUUGUUUGAGCUCUAACUCCGAGAUCGGAGGACACUGUUUGGUGGGUAGUUUGACUGGGGUGGUCGCCUCCAAAAGCGUAACGGAGGCUUCUAAAGGUGCCCUCACGACGAUUGGUAACCGUCGGUAGAGUGUAAUGGCAUAAGGGCGCUUGACUGAGAGACAUACAAGUCGACCAGGUAGGAAACUAGAGCAUAGUGAUCCGGUGUUUCCGUAUGGAAGGGACAUCGCUCAAAGGAUAAAAGGUACUCCGGGGAUAACAGGCUGAUCCCUCCCAAGAGCUCAUAUCGACGGAGGGGUUUGGCACCUCGAUGUCGGCUCGUCACAUCCUGGGGCUGGAGAAGGUCCCAAGGGUUGGGCUGUUCGCCCAUUAAAGUGGCACGCGAGCUGGGUUCAGAACGUCGUGAGACA
Molecule: ribosomal RNA, 1418 nt
Filed under: Blattella germanica (German cockroach)
Lineage: Eukaryota; Metazoa; Arthropoda; Insecta; Blattodea; Blattellidae
Description: bacterial LSU rRNA
Rfam family: Bacterial large subunit ribosomal RNA
Source: RNAcentral